Long non-coding RNA from Mastomys coucha (southern multimammate mouse), 125 nucleotides. RefSeq lists it as uncharacterized. The record is from RefSeq and is a predicted model, not a curated record. The transcript has 3 exons. NCBI's taxonomy places the organism in Eukaryota, Metazoa, Chordata, Mammalia, Rodentia, Muridae.
CUUGGAAGGAAAGAAAAUUUAACUGGAGACAACCAUGCUGAAAGCAUCUGGGGAAGUACUGGCCACAGCUGAGGCUUCUCAAUCAAAACAUAAAUACAGAAAGCUAUACAGCGUGUUGCAAGAAG